UACAGAGGUCCCAAGCGUUGUUCGGAUUCAUUGGGCGUAAAGGGUGCGUAGGCGGCCAGGUAGGUCUGCUGUGAAAACUCGAGGCUUAACCUCGAGCUGUCGGCGGAAACCAUCUGGCUAGAGUCCGGAAGAGGAGAAUGGAAUUCCCGGUGUAGCGGUGAAAUGCGCAGAUAUCGGGAAGAACACCCGUGGCGAAGGCGGUUCUCUGGGACGGUACUGACGCUGAGACGCGAAAGCGUGGGGAGCGAACAGG
This 253-nucleotide ribosomal RNA is filed under the name uncultured bacterium. Its description in RNAcentral is "partial 16S ribosomal RNA". It matches the Rfam family "Bacterial small subunit ribosomal RNA", at positions 524 to 776 of the family's 1533-position model. The record is from RNAcentral.